Molecule: ribosomal RNA, 393 nt
Filed under: Clostridioides difficile
Lineage: Bacteria; Bacillati; Bacillota; Clostridia; Peptostreptococcales; Peptostreptococcaceae
Description: bacterial SSU rRNA
Rfam family: Bacterial small subunit ribosomal RNA
Source: RNAcentral
UUUUAUUUGAGAGUUUGAUCCUGGCUCAGGAUGAACGCUGGCGGCGUGCCUAACACAUGCAAGUUGAGCGAUUUACUUCGGUAAAGAGCGGCGGACGGGUGAGUAACGCGUGGGUAACCUACCCUGUACACACGGAUAACAUACCGAAAGGUAUGCUAAUACGGGAUAAUAUAUUUGAGAGGCAUCUCUUGAAUAUCAAAGGUGAGCCAGUACAGGAUGGACCCGCGUCUGAUUAGCUAGUUGGUAAGGUAACGGCUUACCAAGGCGACGAUCAGUAGGCGACCUGAGAGGGUGAUCGGACACAUUGGAACUGAGACACGGUCCAAACUCCUACGGGAGGCAGCAGUGGGGAAUAUUGCACAAUGGGCGAAAGCCUGAUGCAGCAACGCCGCG